UUCAUGUACGUGCGGUUAUCAUGUUACCUGAGCAGAACAACUAUUUCCAUAACUAUAUUCCUAAACAAAAUAACAAAAUAACAAAAUUUAUUCCAUCACGAACUAUGAAUGCAUGUAUCCAAUUUAACUUUGAAUAUACGAUGAGCAAGUCCUUCAACCUGAAAAGACUAUGAAAAUUAAGUUAGCAUCAGAAAUAAUACAUGGAGGUGCUAGGUAAGGAGUUGAUGGCGAGAUUCAUAUCAAGAAUGGUAUUAUAAAGCACAUCGUGUGUCUCCUCAGAUGCACAUUAUGCCGUGAGUUUGUAAGUUCUAAUGGCUAUUUCAAGCUGCACGACUCACCUCACAUGUUACAACAGAAGAAGAGAUAAACCGGUUCAGUUUCGCUUUCGCCUGGCUGGCCAGGAGGGACUGAGCGCAUAAUUGCUGGAUUAAUUCAUCUAUUUGUUUAGACUUCUCUUACAGCUGCUCCAAGUAGUGCAGAUGUUGUAUAUCACGUUAUGUGCGACAAAUAGAGAAUAACCCUAGAUUAGCACCGGAUUAGAACAAAUCAGGCCUAGUACAAAUAGAGAAAGACCGGGGGGCGUAGAUCAGGACUGGAUUAGAACGACACGGGCCUAGCCGAGGCAUGCUCGGAGGGAGGAGGCUAGGGAGUCGACUUACUUGUCUUCCUCAUUUCCACUAAAUUUGAGAUGGCCUGGCACUAAAUUUGUUACGGAAACAACAUGUGUCAACUAUUCCUUUGAACAGGGC
Molecule: long non-coding RNA, 749 nt
Filed under: Hordeum vulgare
Lineage: Eukaryota; Viridiplantae; Streptophyta; Magnoliopsida; Poales; Poaceae
Description: long non-coding RNA (HVUL_LNC013402)
Source: RNAcentral